RNAcentral lists this ribosomal RNA (497 nucleotides) under uncultured bacterium. Its description in RNAcentral is "partial 16S ribosomal RNA". It matches the Rfam family "Bacterial small subunit ribosomal RNA", at positions 28 to 507 of the family's 1533-position model. The record is from RNAcentral.
GAUGAACGCUGGCGGCGUGCCUAAUACAUGCAAGUCGAGCGAACGGACGAGAAGCUUGCUUCUCUGAUGUUAGCGGCGGACGGGUGAGUAACACGUGGAUAACCUACCUAUAAGACUGGGAUAACUUCGGGACACCGGAGCUAAUACCGGAUGAUAUUUUGAACCGCAUGGUUCAAAAGUGAAAGACGGUCUUGCUGUCACUUAUAGAUGGAUCCGCGCUGCAUUAGCUAGUUGGUAAGGUAACGGCUUAUCAAGGCAACGAUGCAUAGCCGACCUGAGAGGGGGAUCGGCCACACUGGAACUGAGACACGGUCCAGACUCCUACGGGAGGCAGCAGUAGGGAAUCUUCCGCAAUGGGCGAAAGCCUGACGGAGCAACGCCGCGUGAGUGAUGAAGGUCUUCGGAUCGUAAAACUCUGUUAUUAGGGAAGAACAUAUUUGUAAGGAACUGUGCACAUCUUGACGGUACCUAAUCAGAAAGCCACGGCUAACUACGUG